CGGCGUGCUUAACACAUGCAAGUCGAACGAUGAUGCCCAGCUUGCUGGGCGGAUUAGUGGCGAACGGGUGAGUAAUACGUGAGUAACCUGCCCUUGACUCUGGGAUAAGCCUGGGAAACUGGGUCUAAUACUGGAUACUACCUCUUACCGCAUGGUGGGUGGUGGAAAGGGUUUUACUGGUUUUGGAUGGGCUCACGGCCUAUCAGCUUGUUGGUGGGGUAAUGGCUCACCAAGGCGACGACGGGUAGCCGGCCUGAGAGGGUGACCGGCCACACUGGGACUGAGACACGGCCCAGACUCCUACGGGAGGCAGCAGUGGGGAAUAUUGCACAAUGGGCGGAAGCCUGAUGCAGCGACGCCGCGUGAGGGAUGACGGCCUUCGGGUUGUAAACCUCUUUCAGUAGGGAAGAAGCGAGAGUGACGGUACCUGCAGAAGAAGCGCCGGCUAACUACGUGCCAGCAGCCGCGGUAAUACGUAGGGCGCAAGCGUUGUCCGGAAUUAUUGGGCGUAAAGAGCUCGUAGGCGGUUUGUCGCGUCUGCUGUGAAAGCCCGGGGCUCAACCCCGGGUCUGCAGUGGGUACGGGCAGACUAGAGUGCAGUAGGGGAGACUGGAAUUCCUGGUGUAGCGGUGAAAUGCGCAGAUAUCAGGAGGAACACCGAUGGCGAAGGCAGGUCUCUGGGCUGUUACUGACGCUGAGGAGCGAAAGCAUGGGGGAGCG
This 720-nucleotide ribosomal RNA is filed under the name Kocuria sp. CBG_LBI1. RNAcentral's name for it is "bacterial SSU rRNA". It matches the Rfam family "Bacterial small subunit ribosomal RNA", at positions 40 to 770 of the family's 1533-position model. Lineage: Bacteria; Bacillati; Actinomycetota; Actinomycetes; Micrococcales; Micrococcaceae. The record is from RNAcentral.